Molecule: ribosomal RNA, 711 nt
Filed under: bacterium KW-13
Lineage: Bacteria
Description: bacterial SSU rRNA
Rfam family: Bacterial small subunit ribosomal RNA
Source: RNAcentral
AAUGAUGUGGCAUCAUAUUAUUACUAAAGCUUCGGCGGUACAAGAUGAGCAUGCGUCCCAUUAGCUAGUUGGUAAGGUAACGGCUUACCAAGGCAACGAUGGGUAGGGGUCCUGAGAGGGAGAUCCCCCACACUGGUACUGAGACACGGACCAGACUCCUACGGGAGGCAGCAGUGAGGAAUAUUGGUCAAUGGUCGGAAGACUGAACCAGCCAUGCCGCGUGCAGGAUGACGGCCCUAUGGGUUGUAAACUGCUUUUGUACGGGAAGAAACACCGGUUCGUGAACCGGCUUGACGGUACCGUAAGAAUAAGGAUCGGCUAACUCCGUGCCAGCAGCCGCGGUAAUACGGAGGAUCCAAGCGUUAUCCGGAAUCAUUGGGUUUAAAGGGUCCGUAGGCGGUCUUAUAAGUCAGUGGUGAAAUCUGGUCGCUCAACGAUCAAACUGCCAUUGAUACUGUAGGACUUGAAUUACUGUGAAGUAACUAGAAUAUGUAGUGUAGCGGUGAAAUGCUUAGAGAUUACAUGGAAUACCAAUUGCGAAGGCAGGUUACUAACAGUGGAUUGACGCUGAUGGACGAAAGCGUGGGGAGCGAACAGGAUUAGAUACCCUGGUAGUCCACGCUGUAAACGAUGGAUACUAGUUGUUUGGAUUUAUCUGAGUGACUAAGCGAAAGUGAUAAGUAUCCCACCUGGGGAGUACGAACGCAAGUU